UACGGAGGGGGCUAGCGUUGUUCGGAAUCACUGGGCGUAAAGCGCACGUAGGCGGAAUUGUAAGUCAGGGGUGAAAUCCCGGGGCUCAACCUCGGAACUGCCUUUGAUACUGCAAGUCUCGAGUCCGGAAGAGGUGAGUGGAAUUCCUAGUGUAGAGGUGAAAUUCGUAGAUAUUAGGAAGAACACCAGUGGCGAAGGCGGCUCACUGGUCCGGUACUGACGCUGAGGUGCGAAAGCGUGGGGAGCAAACAGG
RNAcentral lists this ribosomal RNA (253 nucleotides) under uncultured bacterium. RNAcentral's name for it is "partial 16S ribosomal RNA". It matches the Rfam family "Bacterial small subunit ribosomal RNA", at positions 524 to 776 of the family's 1533-position model. The record is from RNAcentral.